RNAcentral lists this ribosomal RNA (253 nucleotides) under uncultured bacterium. RNAcentral's name for it is "partial 16S ribosomal RNA". It matches the Rfam family "Bacterial small subunit ribosomal RNA", at positions 524 to 776 of the family's 1533-position model. The record is from RNAcentral.
UACGUAGGGGGCAAGCGUUGUCCGGAAUCAUUGGGCGUAAAGCGCGUGUAGGCGGCCAGAUAAGUCCGUUCUGAAAGCCCGGGGCUCAACCCCGGGAGGCGGAUGGAUACUGUUUGGCUCGAGUCCGGAAGAGGCGAGUGGAAUUCCCGGUGUAGCGGUGAAAUGCGUAGAUAUCAGGAGGAACACCUGUGGCGAAAGCGGCUCACUGGACCAUAACUGACGCUGAUGCACGAAAGCUAGGGGAGCAAACAGG